This 1077-nucleotide long non-coding RNA is filed under the name Mus pahari (shrew mouse). RNAcentral's name for it is "lncRNA (MGP_PahariEiJ_G0002714.1)". Lineage: Eukaryota; Metazoa; Chordata; Mammalia; Rodentia; Muridae. The record is from RNAcentral.
AGUGGAGUCAAGACACCUUAAGAACAAUCUGAGUCGUAAUGAAUUUAAUGUAAUUAAGAGACUGGCUCCCAGGGAAAACUUGAAGCUACAACUAAACAUCCCUUUCAAAGCUCACACUGAAUUAUUUGAGGGGCAAAGCAGAAGCUGGCUCACAGUCAAUUCUUCAAACUCCGCACAGGUCCUAGCAGCCUCCGUACAGUUGCUCCUAAAAAGACAUCACUGCCACACUCAGCAUGGAAAUUAAAAAGGUUUUGAUCUCCACAAAAAUGUCAGGAGUAAGAGAGAAGCGUGAUACAACUGAAACCCAAGUCCUCCAAUCAGUUGUUGACUGCCCCAAGCACGGCUGAGCCAAUCCUUGUAUGCAUGGAGCAAAGGCUGUGGGGACUAGCAAUGCUUCAAGGACGCUAACCUCAUAAUGUCAGCACUCACUCCAAAGAGGAACUGUGUCCACAAGGCCACAGAAUCCACAGGGACAGCUCAGCCGCUGUGCAGGAGACGCCACCAUCUCCAGAGAUCAGUUUCAGAGAAGACUUUGGGCUGACUAUUCAGGUCCAUUCAGACCACUGUCCACUGCCCACUGCAACUGGUCAGAGACUAUCACCUUUCUGAGUCAAGGAAGAAAAAAAAAAACCACUUUCCUGGCUUUGGUUUGCAUAGGAAGCAGAGUCGUGUAGCUACUACCAGCAAAUGUUUUACUAAGUUUCAGAAUCUUAUCAAGAGGCGCAUUAACGACAAACAUGAAACUGUGACCAUCACCCAGGAACGGGAUGUUCAGAGCGAUGACCAAGACGAAGACGCCAGGGACAACAGCUAGCCAUUCAGGCAUCUGCCAGGCUCACAUGUCUGAAUGCCAGGAUUAGACUCCAAGGCUGCAGCCCCAAGUCUAGACCAAUCUCAGACCUUACCAGUUUCAUAAAGCUUACGUGCUAUUGGCAUGAAAGAGGAAGCAGUCUCUGUAUAUGGAAAUAAAUGAAUGGGAAGUGGCUUAAAAUUUCCAAAUACAGUUUUUCUUUCCUCUGCUUCCAAGAAAGUCUUGAUAUUAAAAGCAGCAAUUUGGGGAAAGUUGACUUCUAAACC